Molecule: ribosomal RNA, 498 nt
Filed under: uncultured bacterium
Lineage: Bacteria
Description: partial 16S ribosomal RNA
Rfam family: Bacterial small subunit ribosomal RNA
Source: RNAcentral
GACGAACGCUGGCGGCAUGCCUAACACAUGCAAGUCGAACGGAGAUUAUUUCGGUAAUCUUAGUGGCGAACGGGUGAGUAACGCGUGGGCAACCUGCCCUCUAGAUGGGGACAACAUCCCGAAAGGGGUGCUAAUACCGAAUGUGACAGCAAUCUCGCAUGAGGAUGCUGUGAAAGAUGGCCUCUAUUUAUAAGCUAUCGCUAGAGGAUGGGCCUGCGUCUGAUUAGCUAGUUGGUGGGGUAACGGCCUACCAAGGCGAUGAUCAGUAGCCGGUCUGAGAGUGUGAACGGCCACAUUGGGACUGCGACACGGCCCAGACUCCUACGGGAGGCAGCAGUAGGGAAUCUUCCGCAAUGGGCGAAAGCCUGACGGAGCAAUGCCGCGUGAGUGAUGAAGGAAUUCGUUCCGUAAAGCUCUUUUGUUUAUGACGAAUGUGCAGAUUGUGAACAAUGAUCUGUAAUGACGGUAGUAAACGAAUAAGCCACGGCUAACUACGUG